Long non-coding RNA from Hemicordylus capensis (graceful crag lizard), 1008 nucleotides. RefSeq lists it as uncharacterized. The transcript has 2 exons. Lineage: Eukaryota; Metazoa; Chordata; Lepidosauria; Squamata; Cordylidae. The record is from RefSeq and is a predicted model, not a curated record.
AGAGACCACGGAGAAGCGAGCCGAAUCCUACCAGGAGAAGGUGGCGAUGCUGCUGCUUCAGCAGCAGGCGGCAGAUCUUUAACAAGCUGCUGAGCUUGAAUCUCCCAGAGAGAGAGAGAAGGCUCUUUGGCAUCAGAUCAGAUGGGGAAGAAUGUAGGCAAGUGAGAAGAUUCACCGCCAGCACCGUAACAGAAAGGAUUGAGCAAAUGAUGGUUGCAAGGAGCAGCUGACUCUGCUUCCAGGGUAUAUCCGACUACAAGGAUUCCCUUCCAUUUUUGGUCCUGCAUUAACAACGUUCAGACUUGAUGGUAUAAUGCUGAAAAGGUUCAAAACUUGUCUUUAGCAUCAUGUGAAAAUGCAUUUUGGUUGACAAAGUCAGAUUAAUUAAUGCAGCUCUAAAUCUACUUUGGCCGGUGUUGGCUACCAGCCUAUGAACACUUAUGUGGACGUCUCCUAGAAUCCAGAAACACUUCUUAAUAAACAGACAUUGGAUCAGGUUGUAAAUUUUAAAGAAAACAAUUUCAAUUCUCUCUUUACGUUUUGAAAAGCAUCCACUGCAGCUGGUUUUGUAAUAAUAAUCUAUUUCAUGUGUAUUUUGGGGGGUACAGUACAGACGAACAGUAGAGACAGUUUCUGUUCUUCGUGGAACUUCCUUACAUUUAAGUGGGAAAAGGAGGGAAGGGUAUUCUCUUGGUUUCAGUCUAUAUCUAAAGCAGGGAUAGCCAACAUACAUAUGUUGGGACCAGCCUGAUCUCCAGGUUGCUAGAACAAUGUAACUUCUAACAGAUGGUCAGGAUCCAUAAUGAUAAACUUAGGGUCACCUAAUUUUAAGGGAUAUACAGGUGCAAAAUUCAUAUGCCUGAGUGAUAUAAAGUCACUAAAUGGAGAAAUGAGGAAGUAGGGUGCUUCUCGAAAGAUCUCCCCUUGAGGCAGACUAGUGGGUCUGUAUCCUUUCAACAUCAGGCUAAUGUAUGGCAGAUAAUAACGCAAUAAAAGUUGUACAAAAUA